GUGGGUGGCCAUGCCUCCUUGAUGAUGCUCAAUCUUCUUAGAUCUCAGACGCUAAGCAAGGCCUGGUUAGUGCUUGGAUGGGAGACCGCUGGGAAUACCAGGUGCCACUGAGG
RNAcentral lists this ribosomal RNA (113 nucleotides) under Periophthalmus magnuspinnatus. The record is from RNAcentral. Lineage: Eukaryota; Metazoa; Chordata; Actinopteri; Gobiiformes; Gobiidae.